RNAcentral lists this ribosomal RNA (669 nucleotides) under Triticum aestivum (bread wheat). RNAcentral describes it as "partial small subunit ribosomal RNA". The record is from RNAcentral. Lineage: Eukaryota; Viridiplantae; Streptophyta; Magnoliopsida; Poales; Poaceae.
AUGUUUUCCUCGCAGUCCAUGAGCCGUGUGAACAACAUCAGGACGGCGCUCAUCAACGUGCAGAAGGGCAAGCAGACGGUUGUCGCCUACUUCGCCUCUCUCCGUGGCCUCACCGACGAGCUUGCCGCUGCGGGGAAGGCCAUCCAAGACGACGAGUUCAUCUCCUACAUCAUCCACAGCCUCGACGUCGACUACCAGCCCCUCGUCUCUGCCCUCGACGCACGCGUCACGCCGGUCUCCCUCGACGAGCUCUACGCCAUGCUCAGCAACUUCGACCAGCGCAUGGCCCAGUUCAAUCACUCGGGCGGCGGUGGCUUCCGCUCCUCUGCCAACGCCGCGGUGCGUGGCCGUGGUGGUGGAUCACGUGGACGUGGCUCCUCUCGCGCCAAGGGGCGAUCUGGAGGACACGGUGGUGGCGGCAACAGCGGCGGUCGUCGUGGCGGCGGUCCAACUCGGGCCCGACCAGAGAUGCCUCGCUGCCAAAUUUGUGGUAAGCCAGGAACACCGCGAAGGAUUGCUGGUACCAUUAUGAUGAAGAUGGCGAUGACUCCCAAGAUGAAGAAAAGGUGGCUGCCGCAGCUGAUGGAUCCUACGGCAUCGACACAAAUUGGUACGUUGAUAGCAGCGCCACCAAUCAGAUCACCAAUGAGCUUGAGAAGGUCACGAUGA